This 253-nucleotide ribosomal RNA is filed under the name uncultured bacterium. RNAcentral's name for it is "partial 16S ribosomal RNA". It matches the Rfam family "Bacterial small subunit ribosomal RNA", at positions 524 to 776 of the family's 1533-position model. The record is from RNAcentral.
UACGUAGGGUGCAAGCGUUAAUCGGAAUUACUGGGCGUAAAGCGUGCGCAGGCGGUGAUGUAAGACAGAUGUGAAAUCCCCGGGCUCAACCUGGGAACUGCAUCUGUGACUGUAUAGCUAGAGUACGGUAGAGGGGGAUGGAAUUCCGCGUGUAGCAGUGAAAUGCGUAGAUAUGCGGAGGAACACCGAUGGCGAAGGCAAUCCCCUGGACCUGUACUGACGCUCAUGCACGAAAGCGUGGGGAGCAAACAGG